Molecule: long non-coding RNA, 268 nt
Filed under: Malus domestica (apple)
Lineage: Eukaryota; Viridiplantae; Streptophyta; Magnoliopsida; Rosales; Rosaceae
Description: long non-coding RNA (MDOM_LNC003278)
Source: RNAcentral
GAUGGUACACAUUACAGUUGACACAAAACAACAAGACUGUCCUUAACAUAAGUACGUACUAAAUUACUAAUUCAAGAUAGAUAUAUAAUUUGAUUUGGAAGUGCAUGGAGAAAUGAAUCGUAGAGUAUUCAUGCACACGUACGUCUUCAAGGCAAUCCACCCCCAAGCCCACCGCCAGCACCAGCUCCUCCACCGAAACCUCCCCCAGCUCCUCCUCCAAGUCCUCCUCCACCACCACCACCGAAUCCUCCUCCGCCACCUCCUCCAG